CCCUCUCACCUGGCUGGCGGCAGGGCGGGGCUCGAGCCCGGGACUGCCAGGUGCGCGCCGGGAAUGGGCGGCGGCAGGCGCGCGGGGCACAGGUUCCUGAGGGGGCGCAGCUUUUCCUGGAAGGCAGGCAGCCUGAGAAGGGCUUCGUUUUUGCGCAGUAGGACGUUGAAGAAAGGACAAGCCCCCUUUGUCCUGGACGUAAGCCGCAAGUCGUCCUGAGUGGUGCACACCGCGAAGACUGAGGAAACUGGAUCACAGGGCUGGGCCGUGAGCCUUGAACCUCGGAGAACGUCGCAUUACUGCUCCAGCGCGCCGGUUCAGGGCCGCGGGACGCGAGCCCUUUAAAAGGAUGGAUUUGCUUCCUGUGACUCCCUGGAAGAGACGUCUUCACCACCGCACUGCGUAGAGGCCGGCGUCGUCGCCGGCUCACCCCGCUUGCUGCCUCCCCGCACAAAGCCCAGCCCAGGUAGCUCAGGUUAGCUGGAGCCCCGGAGCCUCACCUACAAGUACCUGGCCUGUCCUAGGUUGUGUGGGGACGGGAUGUGGCUUCUGCAAGCCCAGAAACCUGUUUCCACUCCCCCACCACAAAUGGAACUCACCCAGCUCUACUCGCAAGGUUAGGAGCCAAAAAUUCCCAUGAUCGCACGCGAAUUCAUUUGACUUCCGUUUCAGUUAAGAUGCCUUUUCAGCAUUUUGUUGCUUGUUUGCAGAAGGGAGAGAGGUAGGAUCAAGAAUAGUUUUUACUCCUGCAGAGUCGAGUGCGAGACUUGGAGGCUGAGUCCAGGCGCUCUCCCCUCCCCGCCAGUCCCGUGUCCUGGAGCAGGUCACUGACCUGGUUCCUCGAGUGCGACAGCGCAGCCUCAUCGUAAUAAACCGCCUCCCAAAGCGUUGUCAGAUCAAAUUCCAGAACAUGUUACUGGAAAGCACCUUGAACACUCUAAACUGCAGCACAGUUAUUAGUUAGCAAUACUCUUUGGGGUUUCACUGGCACCUUUUCUAACAAAUAAGAUUGAUAGAUGCCUGCUCAAACAAAUUGAAGUGCUUGUCUCAGAUGACACACUUGGCAGGCAUGGGACGUUCACAGGCCAACUAGAGAGCUAAUUUCAAAACUGAGAUAUAAAAGUGUAUCGCUGUACUUACAAGUUACCAAGUGUUGAGAAAUUACUCACUUUCAUUUGUGUGUUUAAUGUCUUUUUUGUUUUUUUAGACGGAGUCUCACUCUGUUCCCCAGGCUGCAGUGCAGUGGCAUGAUCUCGGCCCACUGCAACCUCCGCUUCCUGGGUUCAAGCAAUCCUCACAUUUCAGCCUCCCGAGUAGCUGGGAUUACAGGCGCGCACCACCAUGUCCAGCUAAUUUUUAAAAAUAUUUUUAGUAGAGACGGGGUUUCGCC
This 1390-nucleotide long non-coding RNA is filed under the name Homo sapiens (human). Its description in RNAcentral is "non-protein coding lnc-CDK20-12:4". Lineage: Eukaryota; Metazoa; Chordata; Mammalia; Primates; Hominidae. The record is from RNAcentral.